CCUACGGGAGGCAGCAGUCGGGAAUAUUGCGCAAUGGAGGAAACUCUGACGCAGUGACGCCGCGUGCAGGAAGAAGGUUUUCGGAUCGUAAACCUCUGUCAGCAGGGAAGAACGGUCACUGUGCUAAUCAGCAGUGAAUUGACGGUACCUGCAAAGGAAGCACCGGCUCACUCCGUGCCAGCAGCCGCGGUAAUACGGAGGGUGCGAGCGUUAAUCGGAAUUACUGGGCGUAAAGCGCUCGUAGGCGGUAUGUCAAGUCAAGGGUGAAAUCCCCGCGCUCAACGUGGGAACUGCCUUUGAAACUGGCAAACUGGAGUGUGUGAGAGGAGAGUGGAAUUCCAGGUGUAGGAGUGAAAUCCGUAGAUAUCUGGAGGAACAUCAGUGGCGAAGGCGACUAUCUGGCACAUAACUGACGCUGAGGAGCGAAAGCGUGGGUAGCAAACAGGAUUAGAUACCCGUGUAGUC
This 465-nucleotide ribosomal RNA is filed under the name uncultured bacterium. Its description in RNAcentral is "partial 16S ribosomal RNA". It matches the Rfam family "Bacterial small subunit ribosomal RNA", at positions 338 to 795 of the family's 1533-position model. The record is from RNAcentral.